GAUGAACGCUGGCGGCGUGCCUAAUACAUGCAAGUCGAGCGAACGGACCAGAAUCUUGUUUCUCUGAUGUUAGCGGCGGACGGGUGUGUAACACGUGUAUAACCUACUUAUAUGUCUGGUAUAACCUCGGGACACCGGAGCUAAUACCGGAUAAUAUUUUGAUCCGCAUGGUUCAAUGGAGAAAGUCGGCCUUGCUGUCACUACUAGAUGCUUACGCGCUGCAUUAGGUAGUUGGUAGGGUCACGGCCUAGCACGGCGACGAUGCAUAACCGAACUGAUAGGCGGAUCGGCGGCACGAGAGGUGAGACGCGGUCCAGACUACUACGAGAGGCAGCAGUAGGGAAUCUUCCGCAAUGGGCGAAAGCCUGACGGAGCAACGCCGAGUGAGUGAAGGAGGUCUUCGGAGCGUAAAGCUCUGUUAUUAGGGAAGAACAUCUGUGUCCGUAGCCGAAGCCAGCGUGACGGUACCUAAUAAAGAAGCACCGGCUAACUACGUG
Molecule: ribosomal RNA, 497 nt
Filed under: uncultured bacterium
Lineage: Bacteria
Description: partial 16S ribosomal RNA
Rfam family: Bacterial small subunit ribosomal RNA
Source: RNAcentral